AGAGUUUGAUCCUGGCUCAGGACGAACGCUGGCGGCGUGCUUAACACAUGCAAGUCGAACGGUGAUGACGGGGCUUGCCUUGUCUGAUCAGUGGCGAACGGGUGAGUAACACGUGAGUAACCUGCCCCAGACUCUGGGAUAACCCCGGGAAACCGGAGCUAAUACCGGAUAUGACCCUCGUACGCAUGUGCAGGGGGUGGAAAGUUUUUUCGGUCUGGGAUGGGCUCGCGGCCUAUCAGCUUGUUGGUGAGGUAGUGGCUCACCAAGGCGACGACGGGUAGCCGGCCUGAGAGGGCGACCGGCCACACUGGGACUGAGACACGGCCCAGACUCCUACGGGAGGCAGCAGUGGGGAAUAUUGCACAAUGGGCGGAAGCCUGAUGCAGCGACGCCGCGUGAGGGAUGACGGCCUUCGGGUUGUAAACCUCUUUCAGCAGGGAAGAAGCGUGAGUGACGGUACCUGCAGAAGAAGCACCGGCUAACUACGUGCCAGCAGCCGCGGUAAUAC
RNAcentral lists this ribosomal RNA (508 nucleotides) under uncultured bacterium. Its description in RNAcentral is "bacterial SSU rRNA". It matches the Rfam family "Bacterial small subunit ribosomal RNA", at positions 8 to 526 of the family's 1533-position model. The record is from RNAcentral.